GAGCGUGAGCAUAGGGACACGCUGCACCCAGGGGAACAGCACUGGGUCGGGGGAAGGAUCUGGCCAGUGCCAAGCAGGCUGUCUGAGGGGUUGGGGGUCCAGCGUGGGUUCCGGAAGCAGGAAAGGCGAGCAGGUGUGGGAUCUAAAUUAGGACGAGGGGCGGGGAGGGCGCUCUGCGCAGAAGGGCGCAGUUCGGCCUCCGACCUCAGCAGCGGACCCUCAUCUCGGCCGCUUGUUGGUUCGCAGGCCUGGAGUGGGCUGAGACCCGCCCAGAAACCGGGAAAACUGAGGCGCGGGCGAGCCCCUUCGGCUCCACGGGCUUUCCGCCCCGAGGUCCUAACUGCGCCCCACUUCAAGUCUGGCCUCUUCACAGAAGUGGCUGCACGCCUCGGGGUAAAGGGGGGAGAGGGGGGUGGGGGGGGGAAAGAGAGCGGGGAGCCCCGAGGGACGGGCGGGGGAGCCUGGGCCGGAAGGCGUCCCAGGCUCGGUUGGCAGCCGGCGCUCUCUUUCGACGCCACCCGCUGCCCCCGCCCCCGAGCCGGCCGGGACGGCACAACGUCUCCGCCCCCAGCGCACCGCGCACCUCACCUUGAACGCCGCCCCACCCACCCCCAUCUUAUUGGGCCUCCCGGGCCGAGGCCUCCCGGCGAUUGGUCGGGGAGGUCCGCGAAGGCCCCGCCCAUCUCUCCGCCCCCGUUCCCGUCCGCCGGUACUUUGGACGGCGGCGUGGCGCCCCUCCUCCCCUCCCGGUCCCCGCCCCCUGGAGCAAAUGCUGCCGAGCUGCGGCCGCGGGGCAGAUGCACGCGCUCGGGCCCUUCUAGCAGGCGCGAGCAGUCGCUGGGCGCGCGAAAGCGAAAGAAGGAAGAGGAAGGGAGGGGGAGGGCGGGGUGUUGGGGAGGGGCGGGAGGAGGAAGAGGAGGAGGUUGGAGCGCGCUCGCGCUUGGCCUCGCGCCCGCGCAGAGGGAGGGAGAGAGGGGUGCGCGCGCGCACGCUCGCGUUCUCGCUCGCUCCAUCCAUCCAUCCUCCCGUCGCGGCACACGCGCGCGCGCGCUCCGGGCUCGCGCCGCACCCCCCGCCCGGGAGAGGCGGGCUGGAGUGGGGGGCGGGGGGAGGGGCGCGCGGACGGCGCGCGGACUGCGCGCGGGCGGGGUGAGGUGA
This 1158-nucleotide long non-coding RNA is filed under the name Pongo abelii (Sumatran orangutan). RNAcentral's name for it is "lncRNA (ENSPPYG00000038714.1)". Lineage: Eukaryota; Metazoa; Chordata; Mammalia; Primates; Hominidae. The record is from RNAcentral.